AGAGUUUGAUCAUGGCUCAGAAUGAACGCUGGCGGCGUGCAUAACACAUGCAAGUCGAACGAGAAAGGGGCUUCGGCCCCGAGUAAAGUGGCGCACGGGUGAGUAACGCGUGGGUAACCUACCCUGGAAUCUGGGAUAACACUGCGAAAGCGGUGCUAAUACCGGGUACGAUCCUUGGACGGGAGUUCGGGGAUGAGAGCCGGCCUCUUGACAAAGCUGGUGUUCUGGGAUGGGCUCGCGUCCUAUCAGCUAGUUGGUGGGGUAAUGGCCUACCAAGGCGUCGACGGGUAGCUGGUCUGAGAGGAUGAUCAGCCACACUGGCACUGGAACACGGGCCAGACUCCUACGGGAGGCAGCAGUGAGGAAUUUUGCGCAAUGGGGGAAACCCUGACGCAGCAACGCCGCGUGGGUGAAGAAGGCCUUCGGGUCGUAAAGCCCUGUCAGGUGGGAAGAACGGUCCUUGAGCGAACAGUUCGGGGAUUUGACGGUACCACCAGAGGAAGCACCGGCUAACUCCGUGCCAGCAGCCGCGGUAAUACGGAGGGUGCGAGCGUUGUUCGGAAUCAUUGGGCGUAAAGGGCGUGUAGGCGGCUGGGUAAGUCUGAUGUGAAAGCCCGGGGCUCAACCCUGGAAGUGCAUUGGAGACUGCUCGGCUUGAGUACUGGAGAGGAUGGGGGAAUUCCCGGUGUAGAGGUGAAAUUCGUAGAGAUCGGGAGGAAUACCAGUGGCGAAGGCGCCCAUCUGGACGGAUACUGACGCUGAGACGCGAAAGCGUGGGGAGCAAACAGGAUUAGAUACCCUGGUAGUCCACGCUGUAAACGAUGAGCACUAGGUGUAGCGGGUAUUGACCCCUGCUGUGCCGCAGCUAACGCAUUAAGUGCUCCGCCUGGGGAUUACGGUCGCAAGACUAAAACUCAAAGGAAUUGACGGGGGCCCGCACAAGCGGUGGAGCAUGUGGGUUUAAUUCGACGCAACGCGAAGAACCCUUACCUGGGCUUGACAUCCCCGGGCCCGCUCUGGGAGCAG
Molecule: ribosomal RNA, 1026 nt
Filed under: uncultured bacterium
Lineage: Bacteria
Description: bacterial SSU rRNA
Rfam family: Bacterial small subunit ribosomal RNA
Source: RNAcentral